RNAcentral lists this ribosomal RNA (1359 nucleotides) under Mycobacterium sp. Its description in RNAcentral is "bacterial SSU rRNA". It matches the Rfam family "Bacterial small subunit ribosomal RNA", at positions 67 to 1441 of the family's 1533-position model. The record is from RNAcentral. Lineage: Bacteria; Bacillati; Actinomycetota; Actinomycetes; Mycobacteriales; Mycobacteriaceae.
CGGAAAGGCCCUUCGGGGUACUCGAGUGGCGAACGGGUGAGUAACACGUGGGUGAUCUGCCCUGCACUUUGGGAUAAGCCUGGGAAACUGGGUCUAAUACCGAAUAGGACUCCGGACUGCAUGGUCUGGGGUGGAAAGCUUUUGCGGUGUGGGAUGGGCCCGCGGCCUAUCAGCUUGUUGGUGGGGUGAUGGCCUACCAAGGCGACGACGGGUAGCCGGCCUGAGAGGGUGACCGGCCACACUGGGACUGAGAUACGGCCCAGACUCCUACGGGAGGCAGCAGUGGGGAAUAUUGCACAAUGGGCGCAAGCCUGAUGCAGCGACGCCGCGUGAGGGAUGACGGCCUUCGGGUUGUAAACCUCUUUCGCCAGGGACGAAGCGCAAGUGACGGUACCUGGAGAAGAAGGACCGGCCAACUACGUGCCAGCAGCCGCGGUAAUACGUAGGGUCCGAGCGUUGUCCGGAAUUACUGGGCGUAAAGAGCUCGUAGGUGGUUUGUCGCGUUGUUCGUGAAAACUCACAGCUUAACUGUGGGCGUGCGGGCGAUACGGGCAGACUGGAGUACUGCAGGGGAGACUGGAAUUCCUGGUGUAGCGGUGGAAUGCGCAGAUAUCAGGAGGAACACCGGUGGCGAAGGCGGGUCUCUGGGCAGUAACUGACGCUGAGGAGCGAAAGCGUGGGGAGCGAACAGGAUUAGAUACCCUGGUAGUCCACGCCGUAAACGGUGGGUACUAGGUGUGGGUUUCCUUCCUUGGGAUCCGUGCCGUAGCUAACGCAUUAAGUACCCCGCCUGGGGAGUACGGCCGCAAGGCUAAAACUCAAAGGAAUUGACGGGGGCCCGCACAAGCGGCGGAGCAUGUGGAUUAAUUCGAUGCAACGCGAAGAACCUUACCUGGGUUUGACAUGCACAGGACGCCGGCAGAGAUGUCGGUUCCCUUGUGGCCUGUGUGCAGGUGGUGCAUGGCUGUCGUCAGCUCGUGUCGUGAGAUGUUGGGUUAAGUCCCGCAACGAGCGCAACCCUUGUCUCAUGUUGCCAGCACGUUAUGGUGGGGACUCGUGAGAGACUGCCGGGGUCAACUCGGAGGAAGGUGGGGAUGACGUCAAGUCAUCAUGCCCCUUAUGUCCAGGGCUUCACACAUGCUACAAUGGCCGGUACAAAGGGCUGCGAUGCCGUGAGGUGGAGCGAAUCCUUUCAAAGCCGGUCUCAGUUCGGAUCGGGGUCUGCAACUCGACCCCGUGAAGUCGGAGUCGCUAGUAAUCGCAGAUCAGCAACGCUGCGGUGAAUACGUUCCCGGGCCUUGUACACACCGCCCGUCACGUCAUGAAAGUCGGUAACACCCGAAGCCGGUGGCCUAACCC